RNAcentral lists this ribosomal RNA (497 nucleotides) under uncultured bacterium. Its description in RNAcentral is "partial 16S ribosomal RNA". It matches the Rfam family "Bacterial small subunit ribosomal RNA", at positions 28 to 507 of the family's 1533-position model. The record is from RNAcentral.
GAUGAGCGCUGGCGGCGUGCCUAAUACAUGCAAGUCGAGCGAACGGACGAGAAGCUUGCUUCUCUGCUGUUAGCGGCGGACGGGUGAGUAACACGUGGAUAACCUACCUAUUAGACUGGGAUAACUUCGGGAAACCGGAGCUAAUACCGGAUAAUAUUUUGAACCGCAUGGUUCAAAAGUGAAAGACGGUCUUGCUGUCACUUAUAGAUGGAUCCGCGCUGCAUUAGCUAGUUGGUAAGGUAACGGCUUACCAAGGCAACGAUGCAUAGCCGACCUGAGAGGGUGAUCGGCCACACUGGAACUGAGACACGGUCCAGACACCUACGGGAGGCAGCAGUAGGGAAUCUUCCGCAAUGGGCGAAAGCCUGACAGAGCAACGCCGCGUGAGUGAUGAAGGUCUUCGGAUCGUAAAACUCUGUUAUUAGGGAAGAACAUAUGUGUAAGUAACUGUGCACAUCUUGACGGUACCUAAUCAGAAAGCCACGGCUAACUACGUG